Long non-coding RNA from Papaver somniferum (opium poppy), 1020 nucleotides. RefSeq lists it as uncharacterized. NCBI's taxonomy places the organism in Eukaryota, Viridiplantae, Streptophyta, Magnoliopsida, Ranunculales, Papaveraceae. The record is from RefSeq and is a predicted model, not a curated record. The transcript is spliced from 3 exons.
CCCUCUCCUCCUCUCUGUUUACGCCGCCUCUCUCAAAGCCCACCCCCAACACAAAUCAUGGCCGGUGAUGUCGAUGAUCAUCAGCAAGACACUCAGCAUCAUGAUAUCUUCUCUCAAACAUAAGUAGUGUGGUAGAUAGCUGAUCCGUUUUUUUUUUAAACACCGGCGGAUAACAGAGAUAGAGGAAAUCUCAAUGCCCUUUGAAACUUAUCAGAUACAAAAUCACAGCGCCAAGUUCUUGGUCGAUCUUAUUGAGAUUUAAAGAGAAUUGGUAUAUCCUCCCCAGAAACAUACGACAAAAAUGUUUUGGCUAAAAUUUUGAAAAACCAAGCACUGCUGUUGGUUGAUGCUCAAAAAUGUUGAACUAUACCUUUUGAUAAGAUAAUAUGGGUGGGAUCAACUGAGCUUCCUGGAAACUGAGAAUACCAGGAUGCUUAAACUAAGGUUAUCUGGUUGUUACUACUUUGUGGAAAACUGAGAAUGGACUCUAGCUAGUAAACAGAAAACUAGCGUUUUUUGGAAAAUGGGUUGCAGCGGCUAAGCACCCUGUAGAAGAUGAUGAGGCAAAAAAAUCGGAUUCAAACCUACUACUUCUACUACUUCUAUUACAGAUGUGAUUUCUUGGCUGAUGAAGAGCAGGGACUCUGAUACAAAAAACUGGGUCAUAUACCAAAAGAGCCCAAUGAAAAUUCCACUCCUCUUUGCGAAGUUGAGAAGCUUCAAGCGCAUAACCAAAUGGAGACAGCACAGCUAUCUAGCUACCGCUUAUCCUCCAGCUGAGAAUGGACAUUCACCCUUGUAGAGCAUAAAACUAAUAUUAACAAGCCAUUUAGCUAUGUUCUGGCACUUCAAGACAUUUCGUAACAAUAUUAAACUUUAAUUCCGUGCAUGUUAAUAUAAGUUUUUAUGCAAUAAUUAUAAUUAUCUGUGAUUCUGAUUGGUUCUUGUCCAAUAAGAUUUCCUUGUAAUUGAACAACUCUCUAACUAGUUCAUUUGAGUCACUUGAACUAGUUAUGGUGA